GCCUGCCGGCCUCCUUCGCCCCGCCCCGUCCGCGCAGCUCGUCCGGCCCGCCCGCAGGCCAGCUUCUCUCGGGAGCCUCCACCCAGGCGCAUGGCUCCAUGAAGCAAGAGGAGGAGGCAGAGCGCGAGAGAUCCCGUCCGCCCCAGCCGCGUCUGGGCCAGGAGAAAAGCAAAACCAUAUUCCUGCUGCUGUCAGUUUUGAUGCACUGAGAAAACUUCAGAGACCUAAGCUUUUUCCAGAGAAGAGAAGCUUUACUGGUGUUCCAGCCCUAAGGCUCAUAUGACAUUAACAGACAAGACACUUUUCAGAAAGACAGAUGGAGUCUCUCUGUCACCCAGACUGGAAUGCAGUGGCAUGAUCUUGGUUCACUGAAACCUCUGCCUUUCUGGUUCAAGCAAUUCUCAUGUUUCAGCCUCCCAGGCAACGUGUUGGACCUUCCGGAGCUUCUCAGAAGACAGAGGGUUUUCUUUUGAGGCUGUUGUACAGUGGCCUGAUUAUAGCUCACUGUAGCCUCGAAAUUCUGGGCCGAAAUGAUCCGCCUGCCUCAGCCUCCAAAGUAGCUGAGACUACAGACAAAUCAACUCAAUCAAAGAAACCAACUCAAAGAAAGAUGGGUCUACAUACAACAAAACUGAACAAAAUCUGCAAGAAGAGUGAUUCAUACAUGGGCUAUUGAGGCAACAUGAGAUGGACAUUAAUCGACUAAGUAAAAAACAGAUUUCUUGAAGAAUUAAUAAAGAACUUUUGUUUUGGA
Molecule: long non-coding RNA, 754 nt
Filed under: Homo sapiens (human)
Lineage: Eukaryota; Metazoa; Chordata; Mammalia; Primates; Hominidae
Description: HSALNT0359070
Source: RNAcentral